This 401-nucleotide long non-coding RNA is filed under the name Haliotis rubra (blacklip abalone). RNAcentral's name for it is "uncharacterized LOC124256989". The record is from RNAcentral. Lineage: Eukaryota; Metazoa; Mollusca; Gastropoda; Lepetellida; Haliotidae.
AUUGUAAAGAUUCUCUGGGCUCUGGUAACACCGACAAUCCUAAUAAUCACCUUCAUCUUUACACUUCUCCGCUACCAGCCACCAACCUACGGCAAGUACAAGUUUCCCAGCUACGCCCCUGCAAUCGGAUGGAUUAUUGCAGUGCUGCCCCUUCUACCGAUACCUGUCUACAUGGUCAUGACUGUCAGGAAGCACAUGGCGACCAAUUCCCUGAAGAAGAGUGUACGUCUUGCCUUGCGGCCUGAUGAUGAAUGGCGUCCUGCAAAUUCCAGAAGCCAGCAAGAUUACAGGAUGAAUCGACAAGAUAACAACCAACUAACAAGACUAUCCUCGUUUUGCUGUUCAAACAAUAAGGCCUAACAUUGUGUUUCAAUCUGGUCUUUAUUGUACUCAGACGCAGU